AAGAGGGACUUCAUUGAAGAAUCAUGCGCGGUCAGAUGCUUUUCAACAUGCUUUACCACUCAAUACAAUUACCCUAACGCAAGUAAUCGAUCCAUCAAUUGAAGUUCCUAGAAAAACACUUAUAACAGUAUUUUAAAGAAUAACACUUUUAUCCUCCACAUCCGGGAAUCGACGUCACAGACUGGUAUAAAAGCCUCAGUCCGACGCAGCAUCCUCAUUAAAGAGAAGCAGCGUCCGUGGGCAGCCUCCUCUUCCUCCUCCUCCUCCUCCUCCUUCUGGCCAAAUUACUGCAAACAAAGAGAGAAUGUCCAAAAUGACGAUCGUUCAGCUUGGAGUGAUUUUGUUCACCAUAUGUUUAUCAACACAGGUGGUUUCCAUGGCCAACACAACAGCGUGGAACUCCACCCUCAACACAAACGCCACCACCACGGCGACAAGCAUCCACAGCAGUUCGGCCAACACUACCCUACCGGUUGGACGGGGCAUCUCGCUGCACGCGGGCACCGUCUCCUUCCUGAUCCCUGUCGUCACGGCAGCCGCUGUCCUUCAGCACUAUUGCUAAAGGCUCGGGCUCCACAGACCCCCCCACCCCACCCCAUUACUCGGCCUCAAGCCUCCACCUCAUCUUAUCUUCCCACCCACUCCAAACCUCACUCCUCUCCUCUUCAGCGCACCGCACGGGGGGACCACAAGGCUAACAUGGAUGGACUCUAAACCCCCCCCCCCACCCCCAUGAAUUCAUUAUAGAAAAAUCUAUAAAUCAGGACAUUUCUUUUAAUAAGGGCGGGUUCAACCGCCGACUGGAGAUCAUCACCAAACCCCCUUCAGCCCCUUUGCAUGGAAUCAGAAGGAAUGGUGGUUAGCCCAGCUUCCCUUUUGGCCUGCGUUUCCAUAGUUACGUCAUUGAAUUUUGGAGAUGAUCAGGGUUGCGGUUGUCAUAUCACAUGUCUUGAUUGAAAUGCGGACCACUUGAGUGUACAGAGGUUCUAUUCGUGGCUUUAAAUAGACUUAUCAAUCAAUAAUAUUUUUGUCUGUGAAGUUGAGUUUGGCACACACAGUAGAGGUUUCCUUCAAGAAAGUUUAAGCCAGAUGAAAUUUAAGUCAAGUUCUUUCAUAAUUUCGGUCUUUUCAUUAGAAUUGUCUAAGAAAUGUUUGUAGCAAAUGAGUUGCCACAAGACUUGUGUCAGUUUGGCCUUGUGACGAGUAAAGAGUUGCGGUCUUUUACAAUGAGGGUUUUAAUGACACCUUUCCCUCCUUCAACCCUGGGUUAGACCCAGGGAGUGGCUCUAUGUAUAUUAUAACCAUAUGGGAAGGGUUGAUGUUAGAUUUAUAUUCCCCCCUUGUAGUUUAUAUUUUGUAAAAAUUGAAAUGUUGUACUGGUGAAUAGUUUGGGUAUAAAAUAAUGGAAGAAAUUAAAAUGUACAAUAAAUUAUGAAAAAUUA
Molecule: long non-coding RNA, 1442 nt
Organism: Pungitius pungitius (ninespine stickleback)
Lineage: Eukaryota; Metazoa; Chordata; Actinopteri; Perciformes; Gasterosteidae
Exons: 2
Source: RefSeq, a predicted model, not a curated record